Molecule: non-coding RNA, 242 nt
Filed under: gamma proteobacterium IMCC1989
Lineage: Bacteria; Pseudomonadati; Pseudomonadota; Gammaproteobacteria; Alteromonadales
Description: Bacterial large subunit ribosomal RNA
Rfam family: Bacterial large subunit ribosomal RNA
Source: Rfam by way of RNAcentral
UAAACCGACACAGGUGAUCAGGUAGAGAAUACCCAGGCGCUUGAGAGAACUCGGGUGAAGGAACUAGGCAAAAUAGCACCGUAACUUCGGGAGAAGGUGCACCGGUGCUGGUGAUGGGACUUGCUCCCUAAGCUAGCGCUGGUCGAAGUGACUAGGUGGCUGCGACUGUUUAUUAAAAACAUAGCACUCUGCAAACACGAAAGUGGACGUAUAGGGUGUGACGCCUGCCCGGUGCCGGAAGG